Molecule: ribosomal RNA, 380 nt
Filed under: uncultured eukaryote
Lineage: Eukaryota
Description: partial 18S ribosomal RNA
Rfam family: Eukaryotic small subunit ribosomal RNA
Source: RNAcentral
CAAUAGCGUAUAUUAAAGUUGUUGCGGUUAAAAAGCUCGUAGUUGGAUUUCUGCUGAGAACGACCGGUCCGCCCUCUGGGUGUGUAUCUGGCUCUUUCUUGGCAUCUUCUUGGUGAACGUUGCUGCACUUGACUGUGUGGAGCGCUACCCAGGACUUUUACUUUGAGGAAAUUAGAGUGUUUCAAGCAGGCAUACGCCUUGAAUACAUUAGCAUGGAAUAAUAAGAUAGGACCUCGGUUCUAUUUUGUUGGUUUCUAGAGCUGAGGUAAUGAUUAAUAGGGAUAGUUGGGGGCAUUCGUAUUUAACUGUCAGAGGUGAAAUUCUUGGGUUUGUUAAAGACGGACUACUGCGAAAGCAUUUGCCAAGGAUGUUUUCAUUGA